UUCGCCCUUAGAGUUUGAUCCUGGCUCAGGACGAACUCUGGCGGCGUGCCUAACACAUGCAAGUCGAACGGACGAGGAGGAGCUUGCUUCUCCAAGUCAGUGGCGGACGGGUGAGUAACGCGUGAGUAACCUGCCCUUCAGAGGGGGAUAACGUCUGGAAACGGACGCUAAUACCGCAUGACAUAUUUCCAUCGCAUGGUGGAGAUAUCAAAGGAGCAAUCCGCUGAAGGAUGGACUCGCGUCCGAUUAGAUAGUUGGCGGGGUAACGGCCCACCAAGUCGACGAUCGGUAGCCGGACUGAGAGGUUGAACGGCCACAUUGGGACUGAGACACGGCCCAGACUCCUACGGGAGGCAGCAGUGGGGGAUAUUGCACAAUGGGCGAAAGCCUGAUGCAGCAACGCCGCGUGAGGGAAGACGGUUUUCGGAUUGUAAACCUCUGUUCUAAGUGACGAACAAAUGACGGUAGCUUAGGAGAAAGCCCCGGCUAACUACGUGCCAGCAGCCGCGGUAAUACGUAGGGGGCAAGCGUUGUCCGGAAUUACUGGGUGUAAAGGGAGCGCAGGCGGGAAGACAAGUUGGAAGUGAAAUCUAUGGGCUCAACCCAUAAACUGCUUUCAAAACUGUUUUUCUUGAGUAGUGCAGAGGUAGGCGGAAUUCCCGGUGUAGCGGUGGAAUGCGUAGAUAUCGGGAGGAACACCAGUGGCGAAGGCGGCCUACUGGGCACCAACUGACGCUGAGGCUCGAAAGUGUGGGUAGCAAACAGGAUUAGAUACCCUGGUAGUCCACACCGUAAACGAUGAUUACCAGGUGUUGGAGGAUUGACCCCUUCAGUGCCGCAGUUAACACAAUAAGUAAUCCACCUGGGGAGUACGACCGCAAGGUUGAAACUCAAAGGAAUUGACGGGGGCCCGCACAAGCAGUGGAGUAUGUGGUUUAAUUCGACGCAACGCGAAGAACCUUACCAAGUCUUGACAUCCCUUGACAGACAUAGAAAUAUGUUUUCUCUUCGGAGCAAGGAGACAGGUGGUGCAUGGUUGUCGUCAGCUCGUGUCGUGAGAUGUUGGGUUAAGUCCCGCAACGAGCGCAACCCUUAUGGUCAGUUACUACGCAAGAGGACUCUGGCCAGACUGCCGUUGACAAAACGGAGGAAGGUGGGGAUGACGUCAAAUCAUCAUGCCCUUUAUGACUUGGGCUACACACGUACUACAAUGGCGUUAAACAAAGAGAAGCAAGACCGCGAGGUGGAGCAAAACUCAGAAACAACGUCCCAGUUCGGACUGCAGGCUGCAACUCGCCUGCACGAAGUCGGAAUUGCUAGUAAUCGUGGAUCAGCAUGCCACGGUGAAUACGUUCCCGGGCCUUGUACACACCGCCCGUCA
This 1381-nucleotide ribosomal RNA is filed under the name uncultured bacterium. RNAcentral describes it as "16S ribosomal RNA". It matches the Rfam family "Bacterial small subunit ribosomal RNA". The record is from RNAcentral.